RNAcentral lists this ribosomal RNA (253 nucleotides) under uncultured bacterium. RNAcentral's name for it is "partial 16S ribosomal RNA". It matches the Rfam family "Bacterial small subunit ribosomal RNA", at positions 524 to 776 of the family's 1533-position model. The record is from RNAcentral.
UACGUAGGGACCAAGCGUUGUUCGGAUUUACUGGGCGUAAAGGGCGCGUAGGCGGAUUGUUAAGUCAGGGGUGAAAUCCUGGAGCUCAACUCCAGAACUGCCUUUGAUACUGGCGAUCUCGAGUCCGGGAGAGGUGAGUGGAACUGCGAGUGUAGAGGUGAAAUUCGUAGAUAUUCGCAAGAACACCAGUGGCGAAGGCGGCUCACUGGCCCGGUACUGACGCUGAGGUGCGAAAGCGUGGGGAGCAAACAGG